RNAcentral lists this ribosomal RNA (253 nucleotides) under uncultured bacterium. RNAcentral's name for it is "partial 16S ribosomal RNA". It matches the Rfam family "Bacterial small subunit ribosomal RNA", at positions 524 to 776 of the family's 1533-position model. The record is from RNAcentral.
UACAGAGGUCUCAAGCGUUGUUCGGAUUCAUUGGGCGUAAAGGGUGCGUAGGUGGCGGGGUAAGUCUGGUGUGAAAUCCCGGGGCUCAACCCCGGAACUGCACUGGAUACUGCUUUGCUAGAGUACUGGAGAGGGAACUGGAAUUUACGGUGUAGCAGUGAAAUGCGUAGAUAUCGUAAGGAAGACCAGUGGCGAAGGCGAGUUCCUGGACAGUUACUGACACUGAGGCACGAAGGCCAGGGGAGCAAACGGG